UCCUCUCUCCCCUCUCAUCUCAUCUUCUUGCGCCACUGCAGGCACAUAAGCAUAAGGGACGCCGCUGCAGGGACCAUGGGGGUGGGCGAAGGUCCGCCAUCGUGGGCCUGCUCGUCCACCGACAUUGGGACACCGGUGAUCAUUCGUGGGUGCUUGGCCGGGCGUGUGGUGCAUGCCAGAAGAAUUGUGGUGUGCGCGGGUUCGUAGUACCCUUGGAGUUCGUCGCCGGUAAUCGGGCGUAUUCCACCAUCCACACCUUCCCGCGGCUGGCUAUAUCCCCGCCGUUUCUGUCUGAAAGGUACCCCGUCAUGUGUCCGCAUUCUCCUCCUCUACAUGUAGCUCGUUUGGCACUCGAGUAGUUUGCACGGAGUUCGAAUUUGGGGAAUUCCGGUGAUAGCUCCGCCGUUGGCAGGGACGUUAGGCUGUACGACCAUGAUGAAAUCCCAUUGUUGUUGUUCCCGUUUAUAUCUACCUCAUGUAGCACGUGUUAGAAGGAGUGGUUGAGCGCCAGAACACCAGUUCAGUGAUCGCCGGUGGGGGGGGGGGGCUCCACCGGAUAGAGCGCGGCGCCGCCGCCUGGCGUCGUUGGGAGGAAGAAAUGCGUGCGUCGCAGAUCCACGAAGGAACGGUGGAGAUUAGAUCGUCACCUACCCCUUUCACGCAACCAACCACGACCGUUGAUUGGAGAUUGUGCGGACAGGAUCAGAUCUCGGUGUUUUAUAUCGGGUGCGUUGAUGCAGGAUCCAAUGGUAGCGAUUGAGUACCGGUUCAGAUGGAUUAGAUCUAAUUUGAUCCGUUGGAUCUAGAUCAGAGGGUAUGCGUAGCGUACCGAUUCAGUGUGGUGGCCGAUCUAAUCUGGGUCGUCCAGUGAGGAUCCGAUGACCAGAUUUCUUGCGUACCCCUUCGCAGGUACAUCUUACUAAAGAGCCCCUGAUGAAUUAGGCAAUAAAUCCGCAGUACCCCUCACUGUGUUCUGAGUCUGUGGGGUUUUGCAGAUUAAACCCCCGACUCUCUGGAUUUUGAUGCGUGGCCCGAGAAUAAGGAAACCAGAUAAAUAAUAUCAGAAAUUGAUUUUCAACACAAAAAUAAUUAAAGAAACUUGUAAAAUUUAUAUAAAAUUCAUUUUAGCUCCUUCCAGUUCCUAUAAUUUUUUAAUAUUAUUGUUUAUCAGUUAGUACCACUGUUUUGACAUGAAAGUCACAUUAAAAUUUAUAUCCCAUUUAAUCUUGUACAAAACACAUGGAAUCUUUAGAAAUUCAUAAAUUAAAAUCUAUAACUCCGAUUUUAGUUGUUCUCGAACCCGCGAUCUCGUAUCUUCGCGUAUAUCAUUUUUAUUUAGUUUGUACUUAUGUUUGGUGUGAUGUUAAUUUUAUCUAUACCAUGUUUGUUUGUAUUGCUACGACUAGCAGUGAGGUCACGAGGAUCUGAAGAAUCAUCCUGAUACCUAGAAUCUCAAGUGCCAGGCAAGUUGUGCCCUUGAUCACUUCUUUUUACCCAGUCAUGUUCUGAUUAAUCAUAAUGAUCUGCAUAGGUUAAUUUUGAUGGGACCCAACAGGUUACCCUAGUUUGACUAUCUUUAUACCUUGUUUACCACUGAAUUCUUGGGUAGUACCUGCUAUUGCUUUAUGUGGUUUUGGGUAUAGAGCUACAUAUUAUUCAUGAUUAUAUUUUGUUAUCAGUUGUUAUUUACUGUUAAUGUUAAGAUUAUUAUGUUAAUUGGAACAUAAAGAACCACACGGGAAAACAGUGCUACCACAAGGGUGGUAUGGGACACCCUUGGCUGACUAAUUAGGAAAGCUAGUGGAGGACUACCUUACCCGAAAGGGGCAAGGGCAGUAGGGGAGUGGUCAGUGUAGGGAGGUCCUUGGGUUGAUUUUGCUGCGAUGGUGGUCAGGCGAGGGAUCCCUGCAUUGGAGCUUCCUAGAAACUAUAGCGGGUUUUCUGAAGCUAGUGGAACUUUGUAAAGGCCUCGUAGUGUUACUCUGCCUUGCCUCCUCGGUAGAGGUGUAUGGGAGUGGUCUUCUCUUCGCAGAUGGGUAACAUGACUUGUGGGUAACGAUGCACAACCUCUGCAGAGUGUAAAACCGGUAUACUAGUCGUGCUUACGGUCAUGAGCAGCUCAAACACUCACAUGAUUAAUUUAUGGAACUAAAUGCAAUUUUUCAUAUGCAUUGCAUCACAGGUGAUGUUGUUACUUUUAUUCUACUACUUAAUUGGGUUGGUAUUUACUUAUACUUAGUAACUGCAAAUAAAAUUUUGACCAAAUUUAAAAGCAAUGCUCAACUCUAACCACCCUCUUUGGUAAGCCUUACACUUAACAUGAGCUUCCACCUUUGGCGAGUUCAUGCACAUUAUUCCCCACAACUUGUUGAGCUAUGAACGUAUGUGAGCUCACUCUUGCUGUCUCACACCCCCCACAGCGCAUGGAGGAUGCUGUGACGAGUUCGUGAGAGGUCUAGGCCGUCGUCUCCCAGUCAACUUUGGGUUGCUGGACCGUUGUCUCCUUAUAAUGUAAUUUAUUUAUUUAUUUUGUACAGAACUCAUAUUAUAUAGUAAAGAUGUGACAUUCGAUCCUGUGUCAUGAUUCAUCAUAUGUGUGAGACUCGGUCCCAGCACACCUGGUGAUUAUGUUCGCGCCCGGGUCUUGGUGCCCCUUAAAUCCGGGUGUGACACACGACUUGUGGGUAAAGAUGCGCAACCUCUGUAGAGUGUAAAACUGGUAUAUCAGUUGUGCUCACGGUCAUGAGCAGCUCGGACCCUCACAUGAUUAAUUUAUGGAACUAAAUUCAAUUUGUCAUAUGCAUUGCAUUGAGGGUGUUGUUAUCAAUUUUGUUCUACUACUUAAAUGGGUUUGUAUUUACUUAUACUUAGUAAUUGCUAAUAAAAUUUUGACCAACUUUAAAAGCAUUCCUCAGCUUCAACCGUCCUCUUUGGUAAGUCUUAAACUUCACAUGAGCUUCCACCUUUGGCGAGUUCAUGCACAUUAUUCCCCGCAACUUGUUGAGCGAUGAACGUAUGUGAGCUCACUCUUACUAUCUCACACCCCCACAGGUCAAGAAUAGGUACCGCAGGAUGAGGCGUAUGGAGGAUGCUGUGAUGAGUUCGUGAGAGGUCUAGGCCGUCGUCUCCCAGUAAACUUUGGGUUGUUGGAUCGUUGUCUCCUUAUGAUGUAAUUAUUUAUUUAUUUUGUACAGAACUCCUAUUAUAUAGUAAAUAUGUGACAUUUGUUUCUGUAC
RNAcentral lists this long non-coding RNA (3236 nucleotides) under Zea mays. RNAcentral describes it as "long non-coding RNA (ZMAY_LNC003143)". Lineage: Eukaryota; Viridiplantae; Streptophyta; Magnoliopsida; Poales; Poaceae. The record is from RNAcentral.